This 446-nucleotide ribosomal RNA is filed under the name uncultured bacterium. RNAcentral describes it as "partial small subunit ribosomal RNA". It matches the Rfam family "Bacterial small subunit ribosomal RNA", at positions 26 to 518 of the family's 1533-position model. The record is from RNAcentral.
AGAACGAACGCUGGCGGCAGGCCUAACACAUGCAAGUCGAGCGCUGUAGCAAUACAGAGCGGCGCACGGGAGAGUAAUACGUGGGAACCUACCCUUUGGUUCGGAAUAACGUCGGGAAACUGACGCUAAUACCGAAUAAGCCCUUCGGGGGAAAGAUUUAUUGCCGAAGGAUGGGCCCAUGUUGGAUUAGCUAGUUGGUGAGGUAACGGCUCACCAAGGCUACGAUCCAUAGCUGGUCUGAGAGGAUGAUCAGCCUCACUGGGACUGAGACACGGCCCAGACUCCUACGGGAGGCAGCAGUGGGGAAUAUUGGACAAUGGGGGCAACCCUGACGCAGCAACGCCGCGUGGAGGAUGAAGUCCCUUGGGACGUAAACUCCUUUCGACCAGGACGAUAAUGACGGUACUGGUGGAAGAAGCACCGGCUAACUCUGUGCCAGCAGCCGC